GAGGGUAUAGCUCAAGUGGUAGGGCGCGUGCUUAGCAUACACACACAAGGUCCUGGGUUCAAUCCCCAGUACCUCCU
Molecule: transfer RNA, 77 nt
Filed under: Camelus bactrianus (Bactrian camel)
Lineage: Eukaryota; Metazoa; Chordata; Mammalia; Artiodactyla; Camelidae
Also listed under: 2 other names
Rfam family: tRNA
About the family: Transfer RNA (tRNA) molecules are approximately 80 nucleotides in length. Their secondary structure includes four short double-helical elements and three loops (D, anti-codon, and T loops).
Source: Rfam by way of RNAcentral